Molecule: long non-coding RNA, 367 nt
Filed under: Citrus sinensis (sweet orange)
Lineage: Eukaryota; Viridiplantae; Streptophyta; Magnoliopsida; Sapindales; Rutaceae
Description: long non-coding RNA (CSIN_LNC003806)
Source: RNAcentral
UAAAGCACAAGAAAGAUCUCACAGUAGUGAUGAAUCAAAGCUUCAUUAUCCUUCAACCAGAAAAAUAAGUUUAGUUCUUCAUAGAGAGAAGAGAAAAAUUAGAUCUAGGGUUUCUUUCUUUCUCUCCAAUCCAAAAUCCCCCUUUUUCACAAUAGAUUCCUCCCUUAAAUACUCUCUCUCUCUUCUCUUUUAGAAUUCUAUUUAAAAUAAAAUACUAAUAUCUGAAAUAUUAAAUUCGUAAUUACAAAAAUAACCAAAAAUACAAAACACGUUAAACUAAAAACUGCAGGUCCACAGUUAACAGCACGCGCCCACGCCUUAUCAACAAAGUUCUUCUGACGCUCAUAAUUUCUCCAAGAGAACAAUC